AGGGGCGUAGCUCAAUUGGCAGAGCACCGGUCUCCAAAACCGGGGGUUGCAGGUUCGAGUCCUGCCGCCCCUG
This 73-nucleotide transfer RNA is filed under the name Psychrobacter sp. RNAcentral describes it as "tRNA-Trp". It matches the Rfam family "tRNA". From Rfam's summary of the family: Transfer RNA (tRNA) molecules are approximately 80 nucleotides in length. Their secondary structure includes four short double-helical elements and three loops (D, anti-codon, and T loops). RNAcentral also lists the same sequence under 9 other names. The record is from RNAcentral. Lineage: Bacteria; Pseudomonadati; Pseudomonadota; Gammaproteobacteria; Moraxellales; Moraxellaceae.